Molecule: non-coding RNA, 30 nt
Filed under: Mus musculus (house mouse)
Lineage: Eukaryota; Metazoa; Chordata; Mammalia; Rodentia; Muridae
Source: RNAcentral
UCAUAUUGGACUAGGUCAGGUUCUUCAUUU